UUGGAGGGCAAGUCUGGUGCCAGCAGCCGCGGUAAUUCCAGCUCCAAUAGCGUAUAUUAAAGUUGUUGCAGUUAAAAAGCUCGUAGUUGAAUUUCGGGAUCGAUGGGUCGGUCAUGCCCUCGGUAUGUACUGAUCCCAUUGGUUCUCACCUUCUAAGGAACCAUGAUGUCAUUCGGUUGAUGUUGUGGGGAAUUAGGACUGUUACCUUGAAAAAAUUAGAGUGUUUAAAGCAGGCCAACGCUUGAAUACAUUAGCAUGGAAUAAUGAAAUAGGACAUCCGAUUCUAUUUUGUUGGUUUCUAGGAUCGAUGUAAUGAUUAAUAGGGAUAGUUGGGGGCAUUAGUAUUCAAUUGUCAGAGGUGAAAUUCUUGGAUUUAUUGAAGACUAACUACUGCGAAAGCAUUUGCCAAGGAUGUUUUCAUUAAUCAAGAACGAAAGUUAGGGGAUCGAAGACGAUCAGAUACCGUCGUAGUCUUAACCAUAAAACUAUGCCGACUAGGGACCGGAUGAUGCUUACUUUUUUAAUGACUCAUUCGGCGCCCUUACGGGAAAC
RNAcentral lists this ribosomal RNA (552 nucleotides) under uncultured Glomeromycotina. Its description in RNAcentral is "SSU rRNA". It matches the Rfam family "Eukaryotic small subunit ribosomal RNA", at positions 548 to 1098 of the family's 1831-position model. Lineage: Eukaryota; Fungi; Glomeromycota. The record is from RNAcentral.